This 3005-nucleotide long non-coding RNA is filed under the name Sus scrofa (pig). RNAcentral's name for it is "lncRNA (ENSSSCG00000063381.1)". The record is from RNAcentral. Lineage: Eukaryota; Metazoa; Chordata; Mammalia; Artiodactyla; Suidae.
AAUGAUCCUAAAAGGAUGGAUAUAUUGAAUGGAUGGAGAAUGUUCCUCCUAAUGGAGAGUUUAGGCAAAAAUGUCCUUUGCUUUCUCUUUCAAGACAAAUCUCCCUUUUCAGGGAGCAUGGCUCCAAAGCCAGCUACAGACUGCUGGCUUGCACAGUCCCUUCCUGUCCCCUGAGCCUGCUCCAACCUCCUUGGAACAGAAGAGCUCUGGGUCUGGCCCUGGUGCGGGAUGUGGCUGGCUUUCCAAGUUGGAAAAUGUGUUAGUAAUUACUUUUUACUGCUGUCUCCAUUUGAAUUUCCAGACCUCUCCCUCCCUCUCCCAGCCUAUGUUUCUCCGUCCAGCUUCCUACCUCAUUCUGGCUGCUAAUUUAACCCUGGCUCCUUUCCUCCAGAAACAUUUGACCUUGUGCAAGAACUUGGCAUCAAUUUCUCUCCUCCUACUUCCCCAGAAGGGAAGCGCCAGGCGAGGGUAAUUAGCAUGAGCAGGCAGCCCUGCCAGACCGCCUGCCUCUUGUCCUCUGGGCUCUGCCUGGUACAACAGCAGCCCCCUUUCUCCAGGCAAAAGGGCAGUGGCCACUAGUUGCCAGUUGCCAGGAGACCUUUUCCAACAUUUUGCUUCAAGAUGGUGUUACCAGGGAUGUAAACUAAGCCCAAUUAGCUCAUUUAGUGAGGUAACCUAUAAUAAAGGAGAAAAGGCAAAAGCACUGAAAUUCCUUGGUUCACAUAUCCCUGCAUUAUUAUUUUUAAUUUCUUUAUUGAAGUAUAGUUGAUUUACAAUGUUCCUUCAAUUUCUGCUGUACAGCAAAGUGACCAGCAUACAUAUAUAUACACUUUCUUUUUUUUUCACACUAUCUUCCAUCACAUUAUAACCCAAGAGAUUGGACAGAGUUACCUGUGCUGUACAGUAGGACCCCAUUGCUUAUCCAUUCUAAAUGUAAUAGCUUGCAUCUACCAACCCCAAACUCCUCAUCCAUCUCACUCCCUUCCCCUCCCCCCAUACGCCCCACCAACAACAGGUCUGCUCUCCAGGUCCGUGAUCUGUUUCUGCUUUGUAGACAGGAUCAUUUGUGCCAUAUUUUAGAUUUCACAUAUAAGUGAUAUCAUGUGGUAUUUGUCUUUCUCUUUCUGACUUACUUCACUUAGUAUGAGAAUCUCUAGUUGCAUCUAUGUUGCUGCAAAUAGCAUUAUUUUGUACUACCCAGACAAAAAAAUGCACAUAUCCCUGCUUUAGAUUUGAAAUGACUCUAUUGGUUUUUCUUAUCAAGAAAGGUUAUUCUAUGUCAAUUGAUAAUCUGGAAAGGAUUAUAAAGAAGAGUCAUUUUACCUGUUUAAGAGAACAAAUUUUGCAAUCACUUAAAUGCCCAUUUCUUCUUGAAGUUGAUAAGCUAAUUACAUACCACUUUUAUCUCCCUAUUAAUUAAGUCCCCAAGGAAGAUUAUAGGGUAUAUUUUGUAACUAAAAUGCUAGCAUAUAUGUACUUGAAAAUAACGCUACUUCAGUUUUUUAAUAAUCCACAAUUCCACAUUUUCAUUAAUUCAGUCCUACCUUUAUUACACUGAAUGAAUGGGUUUCAUGUUAUGUUUGUGAAUGUGUUUUUGAAGUUUACAGAAGAGAACUAUCUUUGUAAAAUAGAUACAAAGUUUUAUAAAACUAUCUUUGUAAAAUAGAUCCUUUGGGUUAUAAGGAUUCAAUAGCAAGCUAGAAAUUGGUUGAAUAGAGAUGGAAUAGAAAUUACAGAUACGAACAUUGACUCUACUCAUUACUAAAUACAUUCUGUACCACCCAGACCAUGAAGUACAAAAUACAUUGUACAAAUACACAUGCACAUAAAUACCAUGUAUAUAUAUAAUAUGUUUAUGUACAAAAUGCACAGUAUGAAACUGUGGAUAAGCCAUCCUAUCUCUAUUUAUUGGGCAGGAGGAAGUAGCAACUGUAUGAGUCCAGUUGACGAGCCUCUAUGUAUUGGAGAUGCACGUCCAGAGAUGGGUUCCUCAAUAUAGUUUCCACCUCGCAGAUAAGUGAAAACUGAGACUGUUCCCUAAUAGUGUUAUUUUCCCUGACCCCUGUCGAAGGGCUGGUUCCUUAAUUAAGCACAGGUUUCCAGUAAUGAAGUACACACGAACGUCCAAAAGAGAGUGGAUGUGAGAACAAGAACAUUUGCUCUGGAGCUGACGCCCUGGCUCUAGCUGUGGGGCUGUCAAAAUGUAAUUUUUAAUAAGGAAAAAACUUGACUCUUAUGCAAACAUGCAAACAGCAUGGAUGUCAAAAUUUAUUUAACCCAUAUAAUACUGGUUUAAGAAUUUGAGAGGCUAAAGAUAGAUAGAUAAUGUCUCUCUGAAAUUAUAUUUUCUACUGAAUAAAAACCAUUUGCAUUUUUAUCAGACAAAAAUCUACAAGUUAACCUAUAGUUUCAUAGAGUUUAGUGCUAAUAAAUAGUAAAUAGUAAGCCAAACAAAAGUACAUUCUUUCAGAGAAUUAACAAUCUGUGGGCUCUGGUUAGAUAAAGCUCCAGUAUAAUGUUAAGAGGACAAACUGACUUAUUUUUGCCUUCUUUUCAUGUUUGGGAUAAGUUUUUUUAACAAGACUUAGGGUAAAUUACCUUGAAUCUCUCUUAACCCCACUGCCUUUGUUUGAAAAGUGGGCAUAACAAUAUUUACAUUAUAGGAUUGCUGUAGGAUUUAAAUGAAAUUGCAUAUCGAAAGUACCUCUCACAACACCUCAAUAAAUGGUAAUUCCCUUCUCUGUGUGUAUUCCUUUUAUUCCAUAUUAUCUGACAUUUUGCCAGUCAGAUCUCUUGCAAUUGGCACUUCCUUCCCGUUGUGGCGCAGUGGUUAACAAAUCCAACUAGGAACCAUGAGGUUGCAGGAUCGAUCAUGGCCUUGCUCAGUGGGUUAAGGAUCUGGCGUUGCCGUGAGCUGUGGUGUAGGUCACAGAUGUCACUCGGAUCCCACAUUGCUGUGGCUGUGGUAUAGGCUGGUAGCUGUAGAUCUGAUUAGACCCCUAGCC